This is a long non-coding RNA of Archocentrus centrarchus (flier cichlid), 203 nucleotides long. RefSeq lists it as uncharacterized. NCBI's taxonomy places the organism in Eukaryota, Metazoa, Chordata, Actinopteri, Cichliformes, Cichlidae. The record is from RefSeq and is a predicted model, not a curated record. The transcript has 3 exons.
CUCGGGUAGAGACUGUGCUGCAUUGUCGCCAGGGUUUUCAGGUAGAGAUGUAGUCUAACGAGUGGUAACUAUCUAAAAGCAUGGAAGACCUGACUGACUUCUUGAGACGAAGAGAAGUCUCUGAGGAAAUAAUACAAACCCUGGAGAAUGAGAAGUGAAUUAUUUUUCCCUCUGUAGAUCGAUGCCAGUGUUAUAAAUCUGAU